Molecule: non-coding RNA, 514 nt
Organism: Heterocephalus glaber (naked mole-rat)
Lineage: Eukaryota; Metazoa; Chordata; Mammalia; Rodentia; Bathyergidae
Source: RefSeq, a predicted model, not a curated record
AACAUGCCCCCUCUGCUGGAGAACAGCUUCAGGACCAGCCAAACCGCUUGGUUGCUAUGGGUACCGAGGUAACGCGGUCACCAAGGAGAUCAAAGCGGAAACUGAGGAGCAGGCUGGCUGAGGGGACGCCAAAGGCUGUGGUCUCAGAAAACAAAAUUGAAUGACUGAAGGACACAAGGAAUUAUGAGGCUUGUAUAAUACAGAGUUUAUCUCCCUGGCUUCCAAAGGAAAAUUGGCUUACAUGUGUGACUUGAGAAAAGAUUUAAUUGAAAAGAAGCCUUACUAAUUGCAUUCAGUGAAGUGAAAUGCCCUUGAAAAAGACCAUUUAUUGAUUAAAUCACAUUACCAGCAGAGCUAUUAAUCUGAAUAAUUUCAUUCUAAUGAGAUUUGGAGAAUAUUCUUUCAUGCUUUGUACAGGUGUCAUCAAUCAUUGUGUAUCAGCUUGGCUUUAUGCAUGUAUACAUACAAAUAAAAUUGUAUAUUCCAAUGUGUAAAUAAAAAUUAGGGUAAUUAA